UACGUAGGGGGCGAGCGUUGUCCGGAUUUAUUGGGCGUAAAGAGCUCGUAGGCGGUUUGGCAAGUCGGGUGUGAAAACUCCGGGCUCAACUCGGAGACGCCACUCGAUACUGCUAUGACUCGAGUCCGGUAGGGGAGUGCGGAAUUCCUGGUGUAGCGGUGAAAUGCGCAGAUAUCAGGAGGAACACCGGUGGCGAAGGCGGUCUGCUGGGCAGUGGCUGACACUGAGGCGCGACAGCGUGGGGAGCAAACAGG
This 254-nucleotide ribosomal RNA is filed under the name uncultured bacterium. RNAcentral's name for it is "partial 16S ribosomal RNA". It matches the Rfam family "Bacterial small subunit ribosomal RNA", at positions 524 to 776 of the family's 1533-position model. The record is from RNAcentral.